RNAcentral lists this unclassified non-coding RNA (285 nucleotides) under fungal sp. RNAcentral's name for it is "partial internal transcribed spacer region". The stretch from base 1 to 46 matches the Rfam family "Eukaryotic small subunit ribosomal RNA", at positions 1786 to 1831 of the family's 1831-position model. Lineage: Eukaryota; Fungi. The record is from RNAcentral.
AAGUCGUAACAAGGUUUCCGUAGGUGAACCUGCGGAAGGAUCAUUACUGAAUGAAAAUGGGUGAGGUUGUAGCUGGCUCCAGUGAUUGGGGCAUGUGCACGCCUCAUUCAAUCAUCCAAACUCUACACCUCUGUGCACCUCUCAUGGGCUGAGUUGUGGUCUGAGACAUUGACCGCGUUCUCUAGCCUGUGUGUUUUUACAUACACCUGCUUGUUCAAAGAAUGUCACAUUUUUGUGCAUGAAAUGCAUACAAUACAACUUUCAGCAACGGAUCUCUUGGCUCUC